GCGCCGUUGGUCUAGUGGUAUGAUUCUCGCUUAGGGUACACCCUGAAGCUCAGCUUGCGAGAGGUCCCGGGUUCAAUCCCCGGAUGGCGCC
RNAcentral lists this transfer RNA (91 nucleotides) under Plectosphaerella cucumerina. RNAcentral describes it as "tRNA-Pro". Lineage: Eukaryota; Fungi; Ascomycota; Sordariomycetes; Glomerellales; Plectosphaerellaceae. The record is from RNAcentral.